GUGAGGAAUAUUGGUCAAUGGGCGAGAGCCUGAACCAGCCAAGUCGCGUGAAGGAUGAAGGUUUUAUGAAUUGUAAACUUCUUUUGCAGGGGAAUAAAGUACGGUACGUGUACCGUUUUGUAUGUACUCUGCGAAUAAGGAUCGGCUAACUCCGUGCCAGCAGCCGCGGUAAUACGGAGGAUCCAAGCGUUAUCCGGAUUUAUUGGGUUUAAAGGGUGCGCAGGCGGGUUGAUAAGUCAGCGGUGAAAGUUUGCAGCUUAACUGUAAAAUUGCCGUUGAAACUGUCGAUCUUGAGUGCAAAUGAGUUAAGCUGAAUGUGUUGUGUAGCGGUGAAAUGCUUAGAUAUAACACAGAACACCGAUUGCGAAGGCAGCUUACUGGGAUGCAACUGACGCUCAUGCACGAAAGCGUGGGGAUCAAACAGGAUUAGAAACCCGUGUAGUCC
Molecule: ribosomal RNA, 445 nt
Filed under: uncultured bacterium
Lineage: Bacteria
Description: partial 16S ribosomal RNA
Rfam family: Bacterial small subunit ribosomal RNA
Source: RNAcentral